CCCUUAGAUGUUCUGGGCCGCACGCGCGCUACACUGAUGCAUUCAACGAGCCUAGCCUUGACCGAGAGGUCCGGGUAAUCUUUGAAACUGCAUCGUGAUGGGGCUAGAUUAUUGCAAUUAUUAAUCUUCAACGAGGAAUGCCUAGUAAGCGUGAUUCAUCAAAUCGCGUUGAUUACGUCCCUACCCUUUGUACACACCGCCCGUCGCUCCUACCGAUUGAGUGUGUUGGUGAGGAGUUCGGAUUGGCUCUUAGUGGUGGUUCGCCACCACCUAGAGCUGAGAAGUUCUCCAAACCGCCCCACUUAGAGGAAGGAGAAGUCGUAACA
RNAcentral lists this ribosomal RNA (326 nucleotides) under uncultured eukaryote. RNAcentral describes it as "partial 18S ribosomal RNA". It matches the Rfam family "Eukaryotic small subunit ribosomal RNA", at positions 1470 to 1796 of the family's 1831-position model. The record is from RNAcentral.